This 494-nucleotide ribosomal RNA is filed under the name uncultured bacterium. Its description in RNAcentral is "partial 16S ribosomal RNA". It matches the Rfam family "Bacterial small subunit ribosomal RNA", at positions 28 to 507 of the family's 1533-position model. The record is from RNAcentral.
GACGAACGCUGGCGGCGUGCUUAACACAUGCAAGUCGAACGGAGAGGCGCCUUCCUUGUUGGUGGGUGGGGAGGAGUGGCGAAGGGGUGAGCAAGAGGAGAGUAACCUGCCCCCUUCGUCAGGAUAACGGCAUGAAGGCGUGGAUAAUAUAGGAUAUCCUGCGUCUGUCGCAUGAUUGGUCUGGGACAGAUAUUGUGUCGGUGGUGGAUGGGCUCGCGUCCUAUCAGCUUGUUGGUGGGGUGAUGGCCUACCAAGGCGAUGAGGGGUAGCCGGCCUGAGAGGGUCGGCGGUCACAGAGGGGAGGCGGCACCGCUGAGACUCCGACAGGAGGCAGCAGUGUAGAGUAGGGAACAGUGGGCGCAAGUCUGAAGCAGCGGCGCGGCGUGAGGGAUGGAGGCCUGCGCGUUAUGAACGUCUUUCGGGUGUGAAGCAGUUUGGCCUCGGAUGUGGGUGGAUUGACGGUAGCUGGUUAAGAAGCGCCGGCUAACUACGUG